GGAUWASGAUUCUUGUCGGGUAGUUCCGACCCGCACGAAAGGCGUAACGAUUUGGGCACUGUCUCAACGAGAGACUCGGUGAAAUCAUAGUACCUGUGAAGAUGCAGGUUACCCGCGACAGGACGGAAAGACCCCGUGGAGCUUUACUGUAGCCUGAUAUUGAAAUUCGGCACAGCUUGUACAGGAUAGGUAGGAGCCUUUGAAACGUGAGCGCUAGCUUACGUGGAGGCGUUGGUGGGAUACUACCCUAGCUGUGUUGGCUUUCUAACCCGCACCACUUAUCGUGGUGGGAGACAGUGUCAGGCGGGCAGUUUGACUGGGGCGGUCGCCUCCUAAAAGGUAACGGAGGCGCUCAAAGGUUCCCUCAGAAUGGUUGGAAAUCAUUCAUAGAGUGUAAAGGCAUAAGGGAGCUUGACUGCGAGACCUACAAGUCGAGCAGGGUCGAAAGACGGACUUAGUGAUCCGGUGGUUCCGCAUGGAAGGGCCAUCGCUCAACGGAUAAAAGCUACCCCGGGGAUAACAGGCUUAUCUCCCCCAAGAGUUCACAUCGACGGGGAGGUUUGGCACCUCGAUGUCGGCUCAUCGCAUCCUGGGGCUGUAGUCGGUCCCAAGGGUUGGGCUGUUCGCCCAUUAAAGCGGUACGCGAGCUGGGUUCAGAACGUCGUGAGACAGUUCGGUCCCUAUCCGUCGUGGGCGUAGGAAAUUUGAGAGGAGCUGUCCUUAGUACGAGAGGACCGGGAUGGACAUACCUCUGGUGUACCAGUUGUCGUGCCAACGGCAUAGCUGGGUAGCUAUGUAUGGACGGAWWWAAGGUGCUGAGCA
This 822-nucleotide ribosomal RNA is filed under the name Staphylococcus epidermidis. RNAcentral describes it as "partial 23S ribosomal RNA". Lineage: Bacteria; Bacillati; Bacillota; Bacilli; Caryophanales; Staphylococcaceae. The record is from RNAcentral.